This 86-nucleotide transfer RNA is filed under the name Bacillota bacterium. RNAcentral's name for it is "tRNA-Tyr". It matches the Rfam family "tRNA". Rfam says of the family: Transfer RNA (tRNA) molecules are approximately 80 nucleotides in length. Their secondary structure includes four short double-helical elements and three loops (D, anti-codon, and T loops). Further hydrogen bonds mediate the characteristic L-shaped molecular structure. tRNAs have two regions of fundamental functional importance: the anti-codon, which is responsible for specific mRNA codon recognition, and the 3' end, to which the tRNAs corresponding amino acid is attached (by aminoacyl-tRNA synthetases). tRNAs cope with the degeneracy of the genetic code in two manners: having more than one tRNA (with a specific anti-codon) for a particular amino acid; and 'wobble' base-pairing, i.e. permitting non-standard base-pairing at the 3rd anti-codon position. Lineage: Bacteria; Bacillati; Bacillota. The record is from RNAcentral. RNAcentral also lists the same sequence under 1 other name.
GGAGAGGUACCCAAGUGGCCAAAGGGGACAGACUGUAAAUCUGCUGGCAGACGCCUUCGCAGGUUCGAAUCCUGCCCUCUCCACCA